GUACACACCGCCCGUCACACCWUGGGAGUGGGUUUCACCAGAAGCAGGUAGUCUAACCGUAAGGAGGGCGCUUGCCACGGUGAGAUUCAUGACUGGGGUGAAGUCGUAACAAGGUWKCCGUAGGUGAACCUGCAGAAGGAUCA
This 143-nucleotide ribosomal RNA is filed under the name uncultured eukaryote. RNAcentral describes it as "partial small subunit ribosomal RNA". The record is from RNAcentral.